UACGAAGGGGGCAAGCGUUGUUCGGAAUUACUGGGCGUAAAGGGCGCGUAGGCGGCCGAUCAAGUCAGGCGUGAAAUUCCCGGGCUCAACCUGGGGGCUGCGCUUGAUACUGAUUGGCUUGAAUGCGGGAGAGGAUAGUGGAAUUCCCAGUGUAGAGGUGAAAUUCGUAGAUAUGCGGAGGAACACCGAUGGCGAAGGCAGUCCCCUGGGCCUGUACUGACGCUCAUGCACGAAAGCGUGGGGAGCAAACAGG
Molecule: ribosomal RNA, 253 nt
Filed under: uncultured bacterium
Lineage: Bacteria
Description: partial 16S ribosomal RNA
Rfam family: Bacterial small subunit ribosomal RNA
Source: RNAcentral